ACACGACCGUACCGCAAACCGACACUGGUGCGCGAGAUGAGUAUUCUAAGGCGCUUGAGAGAACUCGGGAGAAGGAACUCGGCAAAUUGACACCGUAACUUCGGAAGAAGGUGUGCCUUUAGUCAGUGAACCAUUUACUUGGGGAGCUAAACGAGGCUGCAAAAAAUCGGUGGCUGCAACUGUUUAUUAAAAACACAGCACUCUGCUAAGACGAAAGUCGACGUAUAGGGUGUGACGCCUGCCCGGUGCUGGAAGAUUAAAUGAUGGGGUGCAAGCUCUUGAUUGAAGUCCCAGUAAACGGCGGCCGUAACAAUAACGGUCCUAAGGUAGCGAAAUUCCUUGUCGGGUAAGUUCCGACCUGCACGAAUGGCGUAAUGAUGGCCACACUGUCUCCUCCCGAGACUCAGCGAAGUUGAAAUGUUUGUGAUGAUGCAAUCUCCCCGCGGAAAGACGGAAAGACCCCAUGAACCUUUACUGUAGCUUUGUAUUGGACUUUGAACAGAUCUGUGUAGGAUAGGUGGGAGGCUUUGAAGCCGGGACGCUAGUUCUGGUGGAGCCAACGUUGAAAUACCACCCUGGUGUGUUUGAGGUUCUAACCUAGGUCCAUUAUCUGGAUCGGGGACAGUGCAUGGUAGGCAGUUUGACUGGGGCGGUCUCCUCCCAAAGUGUAACGGAGGAGUUCGAAGGUACGCUAGUUACGGUCGGACAUCGUGACGAUAGUGCAAUGGCAUAAGCGUGCUUAACUGCGAGACUGACAAGUCGAGCAGAUGCGAAAGCAGGACAUAGUGAUCCGGUGGUUCUGUAUGGAAGGGCCAUCGCUCAACGGAUAAAAGGUACUCUGGGGAUAACAGGCUGAUACCGCCCAAGAGUUCAUAUCGACGGCGGUGUUUGGCACCUCGAUGUCGGCUCAUCUCAUCCUGGGGCUGUAGCCGGUCCCAAGGGUAUGGCUGUUCGCCAUUUAAAGAGGUACGUGAGCUGGGUUUAAAACGUCGUGAGACAGUUUGGUCCCUAUCUUCCGUGGGCGCUGCAGAUUUGAGGAAGCCUGCUCCUAGUACGAGAGGACCGGAGUGGACGAACCUCUGGUGUAUCGGUUGUCACGCCAGUGGCAUUGCCGAGUAGCUAAGUUCGGAAGAGAUAACCGCUGAAAGCAUCUAAGCGGGAAACUCGUUUCAAGAUUAGAUCUGCCGGGGCCUUGAGCCCCCUAAAGAGUCGUUCAAGACCAGGACGUUGAUAGGUCAGGUGUGGAAGCGCAGUAAUGCGUUAAGCUAACUGAUACUAAUUGCUCGUGCGGCUUGACC
RNAcentral lists this ribosomal RNA (1298 nucleotides) under metagenome. RNAcentral's name for it is "bacterial LSU rRNA". It matches the Rfam family "Bacterial large subunit ribosomal RNA", at positions 1636 to 2925 of the family's 2925-position model. The record is from RNAcentral.